GUAAAAACAGCAGCCCAAUCUGCCAAAUACCAAGCCCAUACCCCAUUAUUACAUAUAUAAAAUGGUAUGGUUUCCUAUUCCACACAAUUCCUUUCUUUCCAAAAACCUUCACAUGCCCUAUGUUUCCGUAGCUCAACCCAACUGGUCCACCUUCUCCAUUGGAUUAUCAAUACUUCGCCCAUCAAUUCUUCCAUGAUUAUUAAGAAAGCUUUCAAAAUUGUGCUCUAUGGUAGAUGGAUUGAUGUGAAAUCACUUUUUGCUGAGGGUGCUUAUUCAAAUUUGCCGUAAUCCUUUACCAGGUUAGUAAAAAGACUCCCUUCUCUUUGAUUCACCUUUCUCUUCGGAUUAAUCCAUUUCUGCAGGUAGAAAAUGUAGUGAAGGUAAGGGAAGCUUCACACUUAUGCCAUAUGGUGAUGGACUCAUUCAGGUUUACCAUCGCCAGAUCUGACCCUAGCCCCUCCAUUUUUUGCCAAGUCCUUUUUGAAGGCUGUAUAUCUGUAGGCUAUUUAGCAAUUCACCUUUUUUGUUACCUAAGAGGCAACUAUAAAAAAGUAAAUAUGCUAUGUGAAGAAACUUAUGUUGUAGCCUGCCUAGCCCCUUCAUCCCUUGAUUGAUGAAACUCUUAAGUAUGGGCUUAUUAAUUUAUGACUGUUUAUGA
Molecule: long non-coding RNA, 658 nt
Organism: Capsicum annuum
Lineage: Eukaryota; Viridiplantae; Streptophyta; Magnoliopsida; Solanales; Solanaceae
Exons: 2
Source: RefSeq, a predicted model, not a curated record